AGAGUUUGAUCCUGGCUCAGGACGAACGCUGGCGGCGCGCCUAACACAUGCAAGUCGAACGGAGCUUAGAGAGCUUGCUUUUUAAGCUUAGUGGCGAACGGGUGAGUAACGCGUGAGUAACCUGCCCUAGAGUGGGGGACAACAGUUGGAAACGACUGCUAAUACCGCAUAAGCCCACGGUACCGCAUGGUACAGUGGUAAAAACUCCGGUGGUAUGAGAUGGACCCGCGUCUGAUUAGGUAGUUGGUGGGGUAACGGCCUACCAAGCCGACGAUCAGUAGCCGGUCUGAGAGGAUGAACGGCCACACUGGAACUGAGACACGGUCCAGACUCCUACGGGAGGCAGCAGUGGGGAAUCUUCCGCAAUGGGCGAAAGCCUGACGGAGCAACGCCGCGUGAGUGAUGACGGCCUUCGGGUUGUAAAACUCUGUGAUCCGGGACGAAAAGGCAGAGUGCGAAGAACAAACUGCAUUGACGGUACCGGAAAAGCAAGCCACGGCUAACUACGUGCCAGCAGCCGCGGUAAUACGUAGGUGGCAAGCGUUGUCCGGAAUUAUUGGGCGUAAAGCGCGCGCAGGCGGCUUCCCAAGUCCCUCUUAAAAGUGCGGGGCUUAACCCCGUGAUGGGAAGGAAACUGGGAAGCUGGAGUAUCGGAGAGGAAAGUGGAAUUCCUAGUGUAGCGGUGAAAUGCGUAGAGAUUAGGAAGAACACCGGUGGCGAARGCGACUUUCUGGACGAAAACUGACGCUGAGGCGCGAAAGCGUGGGGAGCAAACAGGAUUAGAUACCCUGGUAGU
This 796-nucleotide ribosomal RNA is filed under the name uncultured bacterium. Its description in RNAcentral is "bacterial SSU rRNA". It matches the Rfam family "Bacterial small subunit ribosomal RNA", at positions 8 to 794 of the family's 1533-position model. The record is from RNAcentral.